Molecule: ribosomal RNA, 465 nt
Filed under: Vreelandella stevensii
Lineage: Bacteria; Pseudomonadati; Pseudomonadota; Gammaproteobacteria; Oceanospirillales; Halomonadaceae
Description: partial 16S ribosomal RNA
Rfam family: Bacterial small subunit ribosomal RNA
Source: RNAcentral
CCUACGGGAGGCUGCAGUGGGGAAUAUUGGACAAUGGGGGCAACCCUGAUCCAGCCAUGCCGCGUGUGUGAAGAAGGCCCUCGGGUUGUAAAGCACUUUCAGUGAGGAAGAACGCCUGGUGGUUAAUACCCAUCAGGAAAGACAUCACUCACAGAAGAAGCACCGGCUAACUCCGUGCCAGCAGCCGCGGUAAUACGGAGGGUGCGAGCGUUAAUCGGAAUUACUGGGCGUAAAGCGCGCGUAGGUGGCUUGAUAAGCCGGUUGUGAAAGCCCCGGGCUCAACCUGGGAACGGCAUCCGGAACUGUGAAGCGAGAGGGGAGGAGAGGAAGGUGGAAUUCCCGGGGCAGGGGUGAAAUGCGAAGAGAUCGGGAAGGAUAGCAGGGGCGAAGGCGGCCGUAUGGACUAGCACUGACACUGAGGUUCGAAAGUGUGGGUAGCAAACAGGACCAGAGACCCUAGUAGGC